UUAAUCUGUGAUGCAUUGCACUUGGGAUAGUUACCUUGCAUAUUCUUAGUUUUACAGAUAAUGCUGGUCUAUGUGGAAUACCCGGAUUGCCAAAAUGUGGGACCCAUCUGUCUGUCGGAGGAAAAAUCGGCAUCGGGCUAGGAGCAUGUGCUGCACUCAUGCUCUUGCUCAUCUGCUCAACAUGUUGGUGGAAGAGACGGCAGAAUAUUCUCCGAACUCAAAGAAUUGCAGCAAGAGAGGCUCCUUAUGCAAAAGCAAGAACGCAGUCUCUCCGCGAUGUGCAGAUGAUCAGGAAUCAAAGCCUUGGUCAUACUAGGACUGCUUCCGAGAACGGACCACCCUUGCUAUCCUGAGCACUGCUUCAACAAAACUCCAGAUGCUUGUAUCUGUGGAACGCGAAAGGCUACCAAUCCUCGUAUUCUGCUUGCUGAUGCAGGUCGAUAAUUUCCUCUUAUUCCAUCCUGGGGUUUCCUUUGUCAAAAGCAUCUUGUUCUUUAGUCUCAUAUCACAAUCAUGUAGUAUUUCAGAAUCUUGUACAUUAUCCUCAUCACCUCCUGUGUAGUUUUAUCCAAAACUUAGCAACAUUUGGAUAGAUAUCAAUACUAAAAUGUGCAGUUACACA
Long non-coding RNA from Daucus carota subsp. sativus, 622 nucleotides. RefSeq lists it as uncharacterized. NCBI's taxonomy places the organism in Eukaryota, Viridiplantae, Streptophyta, Magnoliopsida, Apiales, Apiaceae. The transcript is spliced from 2 exons. The record is from RefSeq and is a predicted model, not a curated record.